Molecule: long non-coding RNA, 1131 nt
Filed under: Ananas comosus (pineapple)
Lineage: Eukaryota; Viridiplantae; Streptophyta; Magnoliopsida; Poales; Bromeliaceae
Description: long non-coding RNA (ACOM_LNC011032)
Source: RNAcentral
GACGGCAUGGGAGGGCCGGCGGUGGGAUCGGUCGGGUUCGACGACUACGACGGCACCUUCGUGUCGGAAGGGCUAGCGGCGCACCGUGGCCGCCACAGGGACUUCCGGGGGACUUCAGGGACUAACACCACCAAGUUUUGAUUUUCUGCAAAUUAUUAUUAUUAUUAUUAUUCCAUUUGGUCCUGCUCAAUUGUAAACUUUGUUAAACAGCUUGUUGCUUUGGAAUUAUUGUGAUUUUAUUGCCCAGUUUUAUUUUUUCGUUUAUUUUCUGCAAAAUGCCUUAUCUUGUUUAUAAACAUGUAUUUAUGAACUGAAGAAGAAAAUCAAUCAAUCAUAUAAAGAUCACCUGGCAAAUUAAUGCAAUUAAAAAAAAGAAUAGAAAAUCUAGAUAGUAUUUUGUUCACAAAAUUUUUGUUCCUCUAAUGAUAAAAUUUGGUUUGUGCUUAACGAAUUCAAAGAAAUUGGAGAGAGGCAAAAAGGGUCCAAGCGAGUCAGCAGUAAUUCUAAUCGAUGUAGAUUCGAUAGCAAAUUAGUUUUCGUAGGAAUAAGAUAUUUCAAUAAAAUUCCCACAAUACAAUGCCUUAAGCAAUUAGUAAUUUAGAGACAACUAGUGAGAGAAUCCGUGAAUGUUUUCAAGAGGAAUUACUGAGUGCUAAAUGAUGAUAAAUAUGAAUACCUUUCGUGUUUUAGCCCUUCAUUUUGUUGCCUCUAAUUAUGCCAGUUAUCAGAACGUAAUUUAUACAAGUUUUAAAAAAAAUAUUUACACAGUAAAGAACACAAGUCAACGGCAAUAAGGGUUGACCUCUGGCUUGCUUAAUGCUAUUUGCCACAGUGUGCUAAGCGCUACCGACGUGGCAGAUUACGACAUUACUCUGCUCCCAAAACCGUUGAUCUAUUCCCAUUUAUUCCAGAGGUUGCUUGUAAUAAAACAAAUUCCAACGUAGAUUAACAAAGAAGAGGAAGCAACACGCGUAGGGAAAGAAUCAGCUCACAUGUUACUACUGUUCACACGCUGAGCCCCAAAAUCCUUCUCCCAUCAUCGUCGUCGUUCUCGACAAAUGGCGGAGGAGGCUCCCUCGGAGUUCCUGUGCCCCAUCUCGGGCGCUCUCAUGGCGGACCCCGUCAUCGUCC